RNAcentral lists this ribosomal RNA (550 nucleotides) under uncultured fungus. RNAcentral describes it as "eukaryotic LSU rRNA". The stretch from base 186 to 339 matches the Rfam family "5.8S ribosomal RNA". Lineage: Eukaryota; Fungi. The record is from RNAcentral.
AAGUCGUAACAAGGUCUCCGUUGGUGAACCAGCGGAGGGAUCAUUACUGAGUACUACACUCUCUACCCUUUGUGAACUAUUAUACCUGUUGCUUCGGCGGCGCCCGCAAGGGUGCCCGCCGGUCUCAUCAGAAUCUCUGUUUUCGAACCCGACGAUACUUCUGAGUGUUCUUAGCGAACUGUCAAAACUUUUAACAACGGAUCUCUUGGCUCCAGCAUCGGUGAAGAACGCAGCGAAACGCGAUAUGUAAUGUGAAUUGCAGAAUUCAGUGAAUCAUCGAAUCUUUGAACGCACAUGGCGCCUUCCAGUAUCCUGGGAGGCAUGCCUGUCCGAGCGUCGUUUCAACCCUCGAGCCCCUGUGGUCCGGCGUUGGGGAUCUGCCACGGCAGGCCCCUAAAACCAGUGGCGGACCCGAAGGGCCCUCUCCUUUGCGCAGUAGCAUUCGCCUCGCAUCGGGAGUCCUCGGCGUCCUGCCUCUAAACCCCCACAAGCCCGCUUCGGCGGCACCAAGGUUGACCUCGGAUCAGGUAGGAAUACCCGCUGAACUUAA